GAUUGAACGCUGGCGGCAGGCCUAACACAUGCAAGUCGAGCGGCAGCGGGAAAGUAGCUUGCUACUUUUGCCGGCGAGCGGCGGACGGGUGAGUAAUGCCUGGGGAUCUGCCCAGUCGAGGGGGAUAACUACUGGAAACGGUAGCUAAUACCGCAUACGCCCUACGGGGGAAAGCAGGGGACCUUCGGGCCUUGCGCGAUUGGAUGAACCCAGGUGGGAUUAGCUAGUUGGUGAGGUAACGGCUCACCAAGGCGACGAUCCCUAGCUGGUCUGAGAGGAUGAUCAGCCACACUGGAACUGAGACACGGUCCAGACUCCUACGGGAGGCAGCAGUGGGGAAUAUUGCACAAUGGGGGAAACCCUGAUGCAGCCAUGCCGCGUGUGUGAAGAAGGCCUUCGGGUUGUAAAGCACUUUCAGCGAGGAGGAAAGGUCAGUAGCUAAUAUCUGCUGGCUGUGACGUUACUCGCAGAAGAA
Molecule: ribosomal RNA, 475 nt
Filed under: uncultured bacterium
Lineage: Bacteria
Description: bacterial SSU rRNA
Rfam family: Bacterial small subunit ribosomal RNA
Source: RNAcentral